This 251-nucleotide ribosomal RNA is filed under the name uncultured prokaryote. Its description in RNAcentral is "partial 16S rRNA". It matches the Rfam family "Archaeal small subunit ribosomal RNA", at positions 475 to 726 of the family's 1478-position model. The record is from RNAcentral.
ACCCGCGGCCCGAGUGGUGGCCGAUAUUAAUGAGCCUAAAACGCCCGUAGCCGGUUUUGUAAAUACUUGGGGAAAUCGACCAGCUUAACUUUGCGAAGUCCGGGGAAACUGAAAUACUUGGGAUCGGGAGAGGUGAGAGGUACUUCUGGGGUAGGGGUAAAAUCCUGUAAUCCUAGAAGGACCACCGGUGGCGAAGGCGUCUCACUAGAACGAAUCCGACGGUGAGGGACGAAGCCCUGGGGCGCAAACGG